UUAUGUAGGACAACUUGCGUCGGGAAAACCCACUUUGACGAUCCAAAAAUGCGGGUUCCCGGUUUUCGAAGAGUAAAAGUCCGCAAAGAAACGUGACAGAAGGAAAAGGCACCCGGCCAUAUCUAAAUCAAUUUCAAACUCGAACUGAUCAAUGGCUAAUUUGACUGUACAUUGCAAAUGCCGCUCUGAGAAAAUCAACUGCAGCUAACUUUCCCCCUAUGUCGAAAUGUAUCUGAUGGCUCCAACGGAACUAAUGGGGUAAUGCUCUGGACAACGAAUGACAGCAUAAGGAUCCACAUGACGUUAGAGCCCAAAAUUCAGCAAGAUGUAAUUAUAGAAACUAUCCAAAAUAUCAUAAUCGAAGGUGGGGUUUGGAUCUCUAUAUGAAUCUCAUAACUAAUAAUUGAGGGAGAGCAAAAAAAUUUUCGUGGCCAUAUUAGCUUCUAGAGUACGAUGAACCCGCAGCCGCUAAAAGCUUCUGUGGAUGGUGACAAAAAAAACCGAGAAGAUCAAGAAAUUACAAAAAAUAGGGAGCCCCGAAAAAUAUCAGAACCCGUCAUGAACGCUAAUCCAAAGCGUGUAUGUUGUAUAUCCAGACAGCCCGUGUUUUCGUUAUAGCGUUUCGAUAAUCGAUCAAAGGCCUGGUAGUUUGGUAUCUUGACCGUAUCCCAAACAUGUCAUUAUAUGGGAAUUUUCUAUCAGCUCAUGUUUGGAAAGAAAGAAAAAGGCGUUCGAAAGGCGUAGAAGAAAAGCAACCCGGCAUGUCGGGACGUCAACCGGUUCGUGCAACGGAGCGAAAGAACUAAGGUGAUAAGUGGAUUUGUUAAGGGACAUGGAAACCCUUUAGCUUUCGAAAUGUUCGAACGGUUCGAAUAGCGCUCAUACGCAUACACUGAUUCGAAUUUUCUGGAGGCGGUAUGUCCCGACUAGCUUACAACGCCCAUGAACGCUAUUGAAGCUGACAGAACCAGUCAAAAGCCUAGGUUCCUUAGCAUGGUAUAUUUGCAAGCCCAAAAGCAUGGCCGUAUUAUUCGAAUGUGACGCCCAAGCCAAGGACUCCAGCAUAUUUGAUGGGAACAUCGUCAGGAAAUUAAACUCGUUCGUAAAUGAAAUAGUUUGUUGUGGCUUGUGUCACCGGAACAGUUGGGUAUAGGAGGUAUUCUGAUUUCAUGUCGUAGGUGGGGGAGAAGACGGUAGUAUUCCGCAGGUUUCGCUGCAGAUUAUGCCAGAAGAGUUGGUUUAAAGGGCGUUAGAUGGCUAUGGGGAGGAAGAGUGGAGGUUGUCUGAAAAGAGCUAUAAAAGCACAUUCGGCAGAAAAACGAAACAAACCAAAAGAAACAGAAAUCAAGGAGAAGAAAAGAAUGGAACGUAAAAAUUACAGGAAUAAAGCUAAUUGUUUGGAUAUGCGCAUAAUAGACCGUUGCACAUGAAAGGGUCAUAAGAAGCAAAUCUAGCUGGGUGGAAUCGUUUGAAAAAAUUCUAAGGCGUCGCGGAAUCGUGAAACCAGUGUGGACAACAAGAGGCAAGACCAAGUUAGACAGAGAAGGGCGGCUUUUGAACUACAUGAUUCCGGAGCCGUAAGUUGGUUGAAGCGUAGUGUAGUGCUGCAGGUUCUGGACGGUUGUUUGCGGAUGUUAUACUGAGAUGGAAAAUAUUUCGUGCAACGCAAUGUAUUAAUUUCGACAAACGUUCUCGGAAGGGUGUCUAUUGCAGUUGUUCCAAUAUCGCUCCACAGCUCGCUGGGCAACUGGGCCACGAAAUCGGUCGAGGAAGUAGUUGAAGAGUGCAAAUUCGUCACGGGUCAAGAUAUAUGUGUCAGGAUCCGCCUGAACCUUGCGCCAGACUUCGCCAAUAGCGGUUUCAAGAAUGGAGGUCAUUCUGGGGUCGAUACUGCCAUCUUCGCUAUUCCUGGCUUCUUCCAAAGCCACUCGUAUUGUUUCG
This 1941-nucleotide small RNA is filed under the name Histoplasma ohiense. Its description in RNAcentral is "hypothetical lncRNA". The record is from RNAcentral. Lineage: Eukaryota; Fungi; Ascomycota; Eurotiomycetes; Onygenales; Ajellomycetaceae.